UCGGGAAUUUUGCACAAUGGGCGAAAGCCUGAUGCAGCAACGCCGCGUGAGCGAAGAAGGCCUUCGGGUUGUAAAGCUCUGUUGCCCGUGACGAAGGACCGGAUCAGGAAAUGGGUCCGGGGGGACGGUAGCGGGCGAGGAAGCCCCGGCAAACUACGUGCCAGCAGCCGCGGUAAUACGUAGGGGGCGAGCGUUGUCCGGAAUUAUUGGGCGUAAAGGGCGUGUAGGCGGCCUGUUAAGUCAGGGGUGAAAACCCGUGGCUCAACCACGGGGUUGCCUUUGAAACUGGCGGGCUUGAGUGCUCUAGAGGGCAGUGGAAUUCCCGGUGUAGCAGUGAAAUGCGUAGAGAUCGGGAGGAACACCAGUGGCGAAGGCGGCUGCCUGGGGAGUAACUGACGCUGAGGCGCGAAAGCUAGGGGAGCAAACAGG
This 429-nucleotide ribosomal RNA is filed under the name uncultured bacterium. Its description in RNAcentral is "bacterial SSU rRNA". It matches the Rfam family "Bacterial small subunit ribosomal RNA", at positions 355 to 776 of the family's 1533-position model. The record is from RNAcentral.